UGACUCGACCGAACACUCGUCGU
This 23-nucleotide microRNA is filed under the name Cochliomyia macellaria (secondary screw-worm). RNAcentral's name for it is "mature cma-miR-286". The record is from RNAcentral. Lineage: Eukaryota; Metazoa; Arthropoda; Insecta; Diptera; Calliphoridae.